Long non-coding RNA from Cyanistes caeruleus (blue tit), 1623 nucleotides. The record is from Ensembl. NCBI's taxonomy places the organism in Eukaryota, Metazoa, Chordata, Aves, Passeriformes, Paridae.
UAUGAUGAGUUCUUUUUAAAGGAGAGACGUUUAUUCAAGUUUUCUUCUUCUUCACCUGUCCAAAGCAUGUGUCCUGGACUCUGUAAGUACACAUAUUGUAAAGAAUUACCAUAUUUAUGAAAUCUGGGUCAUAUUUUGUUGAAUACUCUCCCUUCCCCUGCCUCCAGGAUGGGAACUUUGAAAAAGCCUGCAUGCAAAACUGAUAGAGUCUGCUUCCACCACUCUUAUGACUUAGGGAGUCUUUGUUUGGUGCACCCUAGAUUUUGUAAAUGAAUGUGUGUUUGUUCAGAAGCAGUUCUGGGGUAACGGAUGUGAUUCUUUUUUUUAACAGUGGAAGACUAAGGUCUAACAGAAGAAAACCUUUGAGGAAUUAGAGGCGGAGAUAAGUAUUUUCCAUUGGAAAGCCAGACCGCUCCAAGAUAAAUGCUGACAAGUCACCUGCUGCAGGAAAGUGUUGAGCUGGAGAAAAAAAUCUGCUGGCAGACCACAGCAACAGGGAGCUCAUUGCUUUGCAAAACGAAAGUGCUCCAGAAAUGUGCAGUUGAUUUCCCUGGAGUGGGACACUGCUGGUGAAUAGCAGUGUGUGCUGGGAAAGCAUUGCUGAAGACACAGAGUGACCACAAAUGUAGAUCUUGGACACCAUGGUCAGAUCUUCUGUUCCCUUUAUCAAAAUAUUCCUCAGGAUCAAGAAUAGCUGUGGAAAAAGGUGUCAGUCAUGGAGUCAAUACUGAAUUGUAAGAAGCAAUCAUAAUAAUACUAAAUUUGGUAAUUUUUGAAUGUUUUAUUUUUCUGAAAUUAUUUUCACAAGACUUUAACCCUGAGAGAAUAAUACAAUUACUUUGAAUAUUAAUUCUGCUCUUUUGCCAGUCGUAGGAUUGUCUGCUGUUUCCUGUGGCUCAGCCACACUAUGAAUAUAUGCUUCUGAAUUGGUAGAAGUCAGCUCAUGACUUGUGUGUCUGAAGAUUAUAAACUGUUGAAGUAUUUUGCAUUGAAAAACACAAUUGCACCUAUUAGUAGUAGAUACAUCUCUUGUUACUGUUUACCACUAGGCUGAGUUUGGGUGGUGUCUAGGGAGUGUGUGUGUAUGCAAGUGGAAUUGGCAGAGCCCUUGGGCAUGUGCUGGGAACUCCAUCUUGGCUUGCUGCUAAUAUUCUCUAAAAUAGAAAACAAUGAAGUGUUUGCUGCUAGCACUCUCUAAAAUAGGAAACAAUGAUGCAUUUGUUCCAAAAUCCUCCACAGAGGAAAUAUUAUUUUAUGCACAGUAAUCCAACAUAAAUGUAGGAGACUUGGUGAAUAUGAAGAGGAUGCAAGUCCUGAAAACAAAGGUACUGCUUCUCUUUGUGCUGUCUUUGUGUUUUGUUGUCUAUGCCCGAAUUUAUCUGAGCCUGGAAAAACCAUGAAACAUUCCUAAAUCCUGUUUUGUCCUCAUAAUGUUCUGGCAGACAGUAUAAACUCAAUGUAAGUGCAGCCUCCUCCUCCUCCUGUGGCCCAUUUGACAAGUGACAUUUUGUUGUCCCAGGUCAUGACAAUGUCUCACUGGCAGAUGGGGCACAUUUAGGUAAUGUGGCUGGGCAGACUCUUCCAAGGCUCAUCCACACUGCAGGAGAGAAUAUCCUAGAGAAU